AGUAAGAUCAGCUAAUUAAGCUCUUGGGCUCAUACUCCAAAAAUGAGGGGCACACCCUCUCUUACUA
Molecule: transfer RNA, 67 nt
Filed under: Xenoturbella japonica
Lineage: Eukaryota; Metazoa; Xenacoelomorpha; Xenoturbellidae
Description: tRNA-Met
Source: RNAcentral